RNAcentral lists this ribosomal RNA (1188 nucleotides) under Triticum aestivum (bread wheat). RNAcentral's name for it is "partial small subunit ribosomal RNA". Lineage: Eukaryota; Viridiplantae; Streptophyta; Magnoliopsida; Poales; Poaceae. The record is from RNAcentral.
AUGGUUAUAAUAGGAGGAGAUGCGGAUGGCAAUGAAGAAGAUCGUUCUGGAAGUCAGUCGCUUCGCCAGAACUCGAAGCGUCCUGCUAAUCGCCAGCCAAGACAUGCGCAGAGUGUUCAGCAGGGAGAGGAAGUUGAGGAUGCUGAUCAGUUUCGUGUUGUAAAGCGGACUAGACGUGCAGCACUUGGAAAGGGAGCCGAGUCAUCUUCUAGGGCAGCAGUUGCUGGAGGAGCUGUCGCAUCUUCCGCAGCAGAUGUUGAGGCCAGCGGUGAAGGAGUUGAGGUGGCUGCGGGGGAAGAUGCGGAGCGACCAUCACAAGCGGGCAGGAUAAGGGCAUCACCAGCGCAGUUUGCAAAUUUCAACGCCUCUCUGUCCCCACCGCAGAAGUCGGAGCUAGUUUCGAGGUUGUUCGGGGGCCUAUCGAACUUAUCAGACACACUUCCAGCUGACCUCACUAAGUUCCUGGUGCAGUCCUACCAGCCAGAGAGCUCUGAAAUGGUUUUCCCAGGAAGGGGAAGGAUCCAUGUCGAUGCUGACAGUGUUCACAGGGUAUUUGAUCUCCCAAACAGGGGUCAAAAAGUCAGAUAUUUAGUUGACAAGGUUGCAACUAGGAGAUUCAGAGAGGCUUUCAACAUAACUGGAAAUUCUCAUCCCCAGAUCACUACAUGGUGCAACAUGAUUCAGGAUAUGGCUGGAAGAACGGAUGACACAUUCUUUAUGGCCUGGCUUGCGAUACUAUACCUUGAUGCACUCGUCCAUGAUAUCCCAGUAAGCAACUGCGGGAUACGAGCGAAUGCAUGGGAUAGUAUUCUAAUUGCCAAGGUGAUCAAGAAGGACCCGAUCUCUCCUGGUGUGUUCGCCAAAUUACAACUUAAAGAGGAGUAUAGAGGCACGGAGCAGACACCACUAUUUGGUGGUAUUUUGCAAGCUGAAGCAUUCGUGGCAUUCAAGUUACCAAUAACCUAUAAUCCGCAGAAAAAUGCAAAGAUUGCCAAAGUGGUUAAUGACCUGUGCAAGGCUUUAACUGAACAGGUUGGCACCUUCAUUGAAGCAGUUGCCAAGAUCGAUGACGAGGAGCCGGAUAUUGAUCCCUACGUACAGCAGCCAUCAAUGGGAACCGGGACGUCACGCCGUGCUCCAAAAAGAAAGAGACGGGGUUCAACUAUACAAGAAGAAGAAGAGUUUGUU